This 253-nucleotide ribosomal RNA is filed under the name uncultured bacterium. RNAcentral's name for it is "partial 16S ribosomal RNA". It matches the Rfam family "Bacterial small subunit ribosomal RNA", at positions 524 to 776 of the family's 1533-position model. The record is from RNAcentral.
UACGUAGGGGGCAAGCGUUGUCCGGAAUCACUGGGCGUAAAGCGCGCGCAGGCGGCGCUCUACGUCCGGGGUGAAAGCCCAGAGCUCAACUCUGGGACUGCCUUGGAUACGGGGUCGCUUGAGGAUCGGAGAGGCAAGGGGAAUUCCACGUGUAGCGGUGAAAUGCGUAGAGAUGUGGAGGAACACCUGUGGCGAAGGCGGCUCACUGGCCCGAUACUGACGCUGAGGUGCGAAAGCGUGGGGAGCAAACAGG